RNAcentral lists this ribosomal RNA (429 nucleotides) under Actinomycetes bacterium. RNAcentral describes it as "Actinobacteria bacterium partial 16S ribosomal RNA". It matches the Rfam family "Bacterial small subunit ribosomal RNA", at positions 355 to 776 of the family's 1533-position model. Lineage: Bacteria; Bacillati; Actinomycetota; Actinomycetes. The record is from RNAcentral.
UAGGGAAUCUUCCGCAAUGGGCGAAAGCCUGACGGAGCAACGCCGCGUGAGUGAAGAAGGUCUUCGGAUCGUAAAACUCUGUUAUUAGGGAAGAACAAAUGUGUAAGUAACUAUGCACGUCUUGACGGUACCUAAUCAGAAAGCCACGGCUAACUACGUGCCAGCAGCCGCGGUAAUACGUAGGUGGCAAGCGUUAUCCGGAAUUAUUGGGCGUAAAGCGCGCGUAGGCGGUUUUUUAAGUCUGAUGUGAAAGCCCACGGCUCAACCGUGGAGGGUCAUUGGAAACUGGAAAACUUGAGUGCAGACGAUGAAAGUGGAAUUCCAUGUGUAGCGGUGAAAUGCGCAGAGAUAUGGAGGAACACCAGUGGCGAAGGCGACUUUCUGGUCUGUAACUGACGCUGAUGUGCGAAAGCGUGGGGAUCAAACAGG